CAUGCAAGUCGAGCGAGAAAGUGACUUCGGUCGCGAGUAAAGCGGCGAACGGGUGAGUACAACGUGGAUAAUCUACCCUAGGGUCUGGGACAACCCCGAGAAAUCGGAGCUAAUACCGGAUAAGACCACAGUAUCCAAGGAUACAGUGGUAAAAGAUUUAUCGCCUUUGGAUGAGUCCACGUCCCAUCAGGUAGUUGGUAAGGUAAAAGCUUACCAAGCCUAAGACGGGUAGCCGGCCUUAGCGGGUGAACGGCCACAUGGGGACUGAGACACGGCCCUGACUCCUACGGGAGGCAGCAGUGGGGAAUAUUGGGCAAUGGGCGAAAGCCUGACCCAGCGAUGCCGCGUGAGGGAUGAAGGCCUUCGGGUUGUAAACCUCUGUCAGGAGGGACGAUGGGACACUUGUGUCUUGACGGUACCUCCAGAGGAAGCCCCGGCUAACUCCGUGCCAGCAGCCGCGGUAAUACGGAGGGGGCAAGCGUUGCUCGGAAUUACUGGGCGUAAAGGGUCCGCAGGCUGUCAGGCAAGUUGGUUGUGAAAGCUCAAGGCUUAACCUUGGAAUUGCAUCCAAAACUGCCUGACUAGAGUCCAAGAGAGGUUGGCGGAAUUCCCGGUGUAGCGGUGAAAUGCAUAGAUAUCGGGAGGAACACCAGAGGCGAAGGCGGCCAACUGGCUUGGAACUGACG
This 686-nucleotide ribosomal RNA is filed under the name uncultured bacterium. Its description in RNAcentral is "bacterial SSU rRNA". It matches the Rfam family "Bacterial small subunit ribosomal RNA", at positions 54 to 745 of the family's 1533-position model. The record is from RNAcentral.